UACGUAGGGUGCGAGCGUUGUCCGGAAUUAUUGGGCGUAAAGGGCUCGUAGGCGGUUUGUCGCGUCGGGAGUGAAAACCUUGGGCUUAACUCAGGGCUUGCUUUCGAUACGGGCAGACUAGAGGUAUGCAGGGGAGAACGGAAUUCCUGGUGUAGCGGUGAAAUGCGCAGAUAUCAGGAGGAACACCGGUGGCGAAGGCAGGUCUCUGGGCCACUACUGACGCUGAGAAGCGAAAGCGUGGGGAGCGAACAGG
RNAcentral lists this ribosomal RNA (253 nucleotides) under uncultured bacterium. RNAcentral's name for it is "partial 16S ribosomal RNA". It matches the Rfam family "Bacterial small subunit ribosomal RNA", at positions 524 to 776 of the family's 1533-position model. The record is from RNAcentral.